Molecule: non-coding RNA, 368 nt
Organism: Desulfobulbaceae bacterium A2
Lineage: Bacteria; Pseudomonadati; Thermodesulfobacteriota; Desulfobulbia; Desulfobulbales; Desulfobulbaceae
Source: Rfam
CGGGGCGGGCGCAUGAUCGCUCCGGGGCCUGGCCCCGGGGAGGAAAGUCCGAACACCGCAGGGCACGGUGGUUCGUAACGCGAACGCCGGGAAACCGGGGGAAAGUGCCACAGAAAAGACACCGCCGCCGGUCUUCGGGCCGGGGGUAAGGUUGAAAUGGCGAGGUAAGAGCUCACCGCCGGCCUGGCGACAGGUCGGGCACGGCAAACCCCACCGGGUGCAAAACCGAAUAGGGAAACGCUUGAGGGUGGCCCGUCCGAUGUUUCCGGGUAGGUUGCAUGAGGCGCCGGGCGACCGGCGUCCUAGAGAAAUGAUCAUGACCCCGCGCAAGCGGGGGACAGAAUUCGGCUUACAGCCCGCCCCGGACU